AGAGUUUGAUCCUGGCUCAGGACGAACGCUGGCGGCGUGCCUAAUACAUGCAAGUAGAACGCUGAAGGAGGAGCUUGCUUCUCUGGAUGAGUUGCGAACGGGUGAGUAACGCGUAGGUAACCUGCCUGGUAGCGGGGGAUAACUAUUGGAAACGAUAGCUAAUACCGCAUAAGAGUGGAUGUUGCAUGACAUUUGCUUAAAAGGUGCACUUGCAUCACUACCAGAUGGACCUGCGUUGUAUUAGCUAGUUGGUGGGGUAACGGCUCACCAAGGCGACGAUACAUAGCCGACCUGAGAGGGUGAUCGGCCACACUGGGACUGAGACACGGCCCAGACGCCUACGGGAGGCAGCAGUAGGGAAUCUUCGGCAAUGGACGGAAGUCUGACCGAGCAACGCCGCGUGAGUGAAGAAGGUUUUCGGAUCGUAAAGCUCUGUUGUAAGAGAAGAACGAGUGUGAGAGUGGAAAGUUCACACUGUGACGGUAUCUUACCAGAAAGGGACGGCUAACUACGUGCCAGCAGCCGCGGUAAUACGUAGGUCCCGAGCGUUGUCCGGAUUUAUUGGGCGUAAAGCGAGCGCAGGCGGUUAGAUAAGUCUGAAGUUAAAGGCUGUGGCUUAACCAUAGUAGGCUUUGGAAACUGUUUAACUUGAGUGCAAGAGGGGAGAGUGGAAUUCCAUGUGUAGCGGUGAAAUGCGUAGAUAUAUGGAGGAACACCGGUGGCGAAAGCGGCUCUCUGGCUUGUAACUGACGCUGAGGCUCGAAAGCGUGGGGAGCAAACAGGAUUAGAUACCCUGGUAGUCCACGCUGUAAACGAUGAGUGCUAGGUGUUAGACCCUUUCCGGGGUUUAGUGCCGUAGCUAACGCAUUAAGCACUCCGCCUGGGGAGUACGACCGCAAGGUUGAAACUCAAAGGAAUUGACGGGGGCCCGCACAAGCGGUGGAGCAUGUGGUUUAAUUCGAAGCAACGCGAAGAACCUUACCAGGUCUUGACAUCCCUCUGACCGCUCUAGAGAUAGAGUUUUCCUUCGGGACAGAGGUGACAGGUGGUGCUUGGUUGUCGUCAGCUCGUGUCGUGAGAUGUUGGGUUAAGUCCCGCAACGAGCGCAACCCCUAUUGUUAGUUGCCAUCAUUUAGUUGGGCACUCUAGCGAGACUGCCGGUAAUAAACCGGAGGAAGGUGGGGAUGACGUCAAAUCAUCAUGCCCCUUAUGACCUGGGCUACACACGUGCUACAAUGGCUGGUACAACGAGUCGCAAGCCGGUGACGGCAAGCUAAUCUCUUAAAGCCAGUCUCUGUUCGGAUUGUAGGCUGCAACUCGCCUACAUGAAGUCGGAAUCGCUAGUAAUCGCGGAUCAGCACGCCGCGGUGAAUACGUUCCCGGGCCUUGUACACACCGCCCGUCACACCACGAGAGUUUGUAACACCCGAAGUCGGUGAGGUAACCGUAAGGAGCCAGCCGCCUAAGGUGGGAUAGAUGAUUGGGGGAAGUCGUAACAAGGUAGCCGUAUCGGAAGGUGCGGCUGGAUCACCU
This 1533-nucleotide ribosomal RNA is filed under the name Streptococcus pneumoniae. RNAcentral's name for it is "bacterial SSU rRNA". It matches the Rfam family "Bacterial small subunit ribosomal RNA". Lineage: Bacteria; Bacillati; Bacillota; Bacilli; Lactobacillales; Streptococcaceae. The record is from RNAcentral.